CGGCCACGACCCGCCGUCCCUCUCCCGCUCCCUCUCGCCGCUCACUGGUACGCUAGUGCUGGUGGUGGUGGGUGCGGUCAUGGGGCUGGGGCGGGGCGAGGGGGUGAGGAGGAGGAGGAGGAGGCAUCUCUCCCUCUCUUGGUGGUUGUUGGUGGUCUGCGUCACCCCUAGUGUUCCACCUGGGUUCCAAGUUUCCAACCCACUUAAUCGUUCUAUCCCUCUCGUCCGACCGCCCCGUCAGUAAUGGAUUGAGAUUUGGACUACAUAUACGAGCACUAUAUUGAGUCAUUUGAAGAGGAGAACUACAUGGAUGAGAUGGUGAUGAUGCAGACGGUCGUUGAAGAUGCGGAGCGUGCGGAGGCGUCAGCGUUUUGAGAUGCACAAGAUUAUCUUUGAUCGCUUGUACCAAAGCGUCCGAUCCUAUGAUGACUAUUUUAUCUUGAAAAAUGGUUUCGUGGAAAGGAUUGGCUUCUCUAGUUACCAAAAGUGCACGACCGCACACAGAUGCUUGCAUAUGGCACGGCCGAUGAUUCGUGGGACGAAUACCUACGGAUGUCCAAGAGCACAUGCGGAGAUCCCACGGUCAGAUUUGCAAUUGUCGUGGUCGAGGUGUUUGGACAUCAGUAUCCGAGAGAACCAAUUAUGGCGGACAUCAAAAGGCACUUGGCAAUCUCAAAAGCAAGAGGGUGUCUGGGUUUGCUUGAUCUCCUGACUGCUAGCAUUGGAAAUAAAAGAAUUGCUCAAAAGCUUUACAAUGACAAUAUCACAGUCAUCAUAAGAAGCCCACCAUCAUUCUGGAGGCAAUUGCAUCACAUGAUCUUGGAAUUUGACAUGCUCUAAUUGGCAUACCCGAGUCUCACAGUGACAUCAAUGUGCUGCAGCGAUCAUUAUUGUUUGUGAGGCUAACUGAAGAAAAAACUUCUCCUUGUCAUUGUACUGUUAAUAGACAUGAGUACAGCACGGGUUGUUAUCUA
Long non-coding RNA from Hordeum vulgare subsp. vulgare (domesticated barley), 974 nucleotides. RefSeq lists it as uncharacterized. The transcript is spliced from 2 exons. The record is from RefSeq and is a predicted model, not a curated record. Lineage: Eukaryota; Viridiplantae; Streptophyta; Magnoliopsida; Poales; Poaceae.